AUUGUUUGAGCUUGAAGCGCCAUAUUGAAGCUGUGGAGGGUUAACAGUAGUGUUUAAAUGAGG
This 63-nucleotide transfer RNA is filed under the name Paratenuisentis ambiguus. RNAcentral's name for it is "transfer RNA-Phe". Lineage: Eukaryota; Metazoa; Acanthocephala; Eoacanthocephala; Neoechinorhynchida; Tenuisentidae. The record is from RNAcentral.